GCCUGGCUGGCUCAAUCAGUGGAGCAUAUGAUUCUUGAUUGUGGGGUUGUGGGUUCGAGCCCCACGGUGGGUG
This is a transfer RNA of Felis catus (domestic cat), 73 nucleotides long. It matches the Rfam family "tRNA". From Rfam's summary of the family: Transfer RNA (tRNA) molecules are approximately 80 nucleotides in length. Their secondary structure includes four short double-helical elements and three loops (D, anti-codon, and T loops). Lineage: Eukaryota; Metazoa; Chordata; Mammalia; Carnivora; Felidae. The record is from Rfam.